Molecule: unclassified non-coding RNA, 510 nt
Filed under: Hevea brasiliensis (rubber tree)
Lineage: Eukaryota; Viridiplantae; Streptophyta; Magnoliopsida; Malpighiales; Euphorbiaceae
Source: RNAcentral
AAGGCAUGCCUUUCUAGAACCUUGCGUCUAAAACAAAGGUGCACACCUAGUCGCAUAAGGCGCUAGAGUUUGAGCUUGGUGAGCCUUAAGCCAGAGGCGCGCCUUUAAUAACUAUGUUUUCAUCAAAACUCCACUUUUCACCAAGAACGUAGAGGUUUAUCUUCAACCUACCCAUUCCUCGACCACUAGCUUUCCUUAACCUCCACAUCUCACAAAGCCAUUCGACACUAAUCUCUUAUAUCUGCUCACUCCACCAUCACCGAUUAGCUCACUUAUUUCUCCCUUACUGCAUUAGAGCAUAUAUCUCUUUCAACUAUCUUUCAUCACCUCGACAAGCUAUCACUUCUAUGAUGCUCACCUCUGCCCAACCCAACUCUGCCUUAUGAAGACUUGGCCUCAUUCCCCAUCAAAAUACCCUUUCAACAAUUCAACUAGACCCACCUUAGCAACCUUAAAACAAGUGCUAUUAAUUCAUUAGUUACGAUUUAUUUUAUUGUAAAUUGGGUUUAA